AGCUUUUCGAAUCUAUGCUGAGAUUCCAUGAGACACCAACCCAUUAGGGCUAAUCAGACUUCCAAGAUAAGUGAAGUU
This 78-nucleotide microRNA precursor is filed under the name Schistosoma margrebowiei. RNAcentral describes it as "mir-3492 microRNA precursor family". It matches the Rfam family "mir-3492 microRNA precursor family". The record is from Rfam by way of RNAcentral. Lineage: Eukaryota; Metazoa; Platyhelminthes; Trematoda; Strigeidida; Schistosomatidae.